GAUGAACGCUGACAGAAUGCUUAACACAUGCAAGUCAACUUGAAUUUGGGUUUUUAACUUAGGUUUGGGUGGCGGACGGGUGAGUAACGCGUAAAGAACUUGCCUCACAGCUAGGGACAACAUUUGGAAACGAAUGCUAAUACCUAAUAUUAUGAUAAUAGGGCAUCCUAUAAUUAUGAAAGCUAUAAGCGCUGUGAGAGAGCUUUGCGUCCCAUUAGCUAGUUGGAGAGGUAACGGCUCACCAAGGCGAUGAUGGGUAGCCGGCCUGAGAGGGUGAUCGGCCACAAGGGGACUGAGACACGGCCCUUACUCCUACGGGGGGCAGCAGUGGGGAAUAUUGGACAAUGGACCGAGAGUCUGAUCCAGCAAUUCUGUGUGCACGAUGAAGUUUUUCGGAAUGUAAAGUGCUUUCAGUUGGGAAGAAACAAAUGACGGUACCAACAGAAGAAGUGACGGCUAAAUACGUG
Molecule: ribosomal RNA, 467 nt
Filed under: uncultured bacterium
Lineage: Bacteria
Description: partial 16S ribosomal RNA
Rfam family: Bacterial small subunit ribosomal RNA
Source: RNAcentral